This 253-nucleotide ribosomal RNA is filed under the name uncultured bacterium. RNAcentral describes it as "partial 16S ribosomal RNA". It matches the Rfam family "Bacterial small subunit ribosomal RNA", at positions 524 to 776 of the family's 1533-position model. The record is from RNAcentral.
UACAUAGGGGGCAAGCGUUAUCCGGAAUUAUUGGGUGUAAAGGGUGCGUAGACGGAGAAACAAGUUGGUUGUGAAAUCCCUCGGCUCAACCGAGGAACUGCAACCAAAACUAUUUCCCUUGAGUGUCGGAGAGGAAAGUGGAGUUCCUAGUGUAGCGGUGAAAUGCGUAGAUAUUAGGAGGAACACCAGUGGCGAAGGCGACUUUCUGGACGAUAACUGACGUUGAGGCACGAAAGUGUGGGGAGCAAACAGG